This 276-nucleotide ribosomal RNA is filed under the name uncultured bacterium. Its description in RNAcentral is "partial 16S ribosomal RNA". It matches the Rfam family "Bacterial small subunit ribosomal RNA", at positions 44 to 334 of the family's 1533-position model. The record is from RNAcentral.
GUGCCUAACACAUGCAAGUCGAACGAGAAAGUGGAGCAAUCCAUGAGUAAAGUGGCGACCGGGUGAGUAACACGUGACUAACCUACCUUUUAGUGGGGGAUAACCCCGGGAAACCGGGGCUAAUACCGCAUAACAUCGCAAGAUCAAAGCAGCAAUGCGCUGGAAGAGGGGGUCGCGGCUGAUUAGCUAGUUGGCGGGGUAACGGCCCACCAAGGCGAAGAUCGGUAUCCGGCCUGAGAGGGCGCACGGACACACUGGAACUGAAACACGGUCCAG